RNAcentral lists this ribosomal RNA (368 nucleotides) under uncultured Peritrichia. RNAcentral's name for it is "SSU rRNA". It matches the Rfam family "Eukaryotic small subunit ribosomal RNA", at positions 587 to 972 of the family's 1831-position model. The record is from RNAcentral. Lineage: Eukaryota; Ciliophora; Oligohymenophorea.
AGCUCCAAUAGCGUAUAUUAAAGUUGUUGCAGUUAAAAAGCUCGUAGUUGAAGUUCUGGUUGUAUGGGCCUCUGCACUUGAUGCGUAGGUACCAGCAACCAUCCGCUUGCAAAUACAUGUCCUUCUUUAACCGGUAGGCUGUAUGAGCAAGCAAUUUACCUUGAGAAAAACAGAGUGCACCAGGCAGGUAUGUCCGGAAUGCAUUAGCAUGGAAUAAUAGAAUAUGACCGAAGUCGAUUUAUUGGUUUGAGGCUUUAGUAAUGAUUAAUAGGAACAAUCGGGGGCAUUGGUACUUGCCAGUCAGAGGUGAAAUUCUAAGAUUUGGCAAAGACUAACUGAUGCGAAAGCGUUUGCCAAGGAUGUUUUCA